GGGGUUAUUAUUGGUCACUCCAUGAGUUUAGUGUGAUUCACCCCUGUACUACUCAAACUCAAGCAAAGCUUGUGUUUUAUUUUUCUUUCAGAGGGUUUUGGUUUGCUAGUUUUCUGGUUUACAGUGGUUUAGGGUGCGUUGGUGAUUAAGUAGGCUAAUCUUUCUUCUGAAUUCCUUUGUCAUUUGUGAUUAGGAAAUUCCUGGGGUUCUGCACUUGUAAGCACAUUGUGUAAUCGGGCGUCCAUUUGUGUGUGCACAUAGAUUAAAUAUAAAGCAUAUCAAAGUAAGUUACCCUCGUAUUCGUUCUCCAUUUCAUGCUAAUGAGGUGGUUGGACAGUUUCUACGAUAAUUAAUAUGCCUCAAUGUCAACAAGUUGGGGGUAGUUUUAUGAUUCUUCAUGGUCCAUAUUAUGCAAAAUAAAAUGGUUAAAGGAUUUCUUAGUGGAAAAAAAAUGUGAUGAUGUUACACCAACUGCUUGGCUCUAUUUUAUUCAAGUGUUUUGGAGAAAUAUGUCAGGAUAUGUAGAAGGGAGUACUAUAUGGAGAUUGACUGCCAGCGUAAAUUCCCAACUGGAUGUAAUUGCUAAGAAGAGAUGCAUAGCUCCCUUCCUCAUGCUGAUUAUAUUGACUAAAGGGAGAGGAAUGGAGGACAUACAGGAUUUAACAGGAAGAAUUUUUAGUCUUGUGCCUAGAUAAGGUACCUUAAUUAUCAUGGCUGAAAUCGGAAUUAAGAAAAAAUACAUGUCUGAAUAAGGUGCUUUAAUUUCUAUUAGGUCUCUGUUUGCAUAUUGAUAGGUGAAUAGCCAAUACACGGUGAGGCAUCAUAAAGUAAUUCACUUUAACGAUGUUAAUAUGUAAUGCUUCUGGUACCCUAGAUUGUGCAGGCUAUGUCUCUCCUUAAAACUUAUUUUUGAAAUAAUAUUGCAUUAUUAGUUAAAUGCUUAUGAAGCUCUCUUUCGCUUUGCUGCAACUGAUAACAUUUUCAUGUUAGUUAGAAUUAUCCAACUUGCAAACCACUAAGAUAUUAGCUGUAGUUAAUCAUUAUCACUAAAUUUAAGGCUCUUGGAAUUGGAACAUUAAAGUAUGAAGCUUUGCAGCAAGAUCACAGGAUAAGAUGCACCUGUAAAGGUGGAAAAAAGAAAAGAUCACUAGAUUAACAUAUGAAUUUUGUUAUUGGUAAUCUGAUACACUGAUAGGAUCAUCUGUGUUUCUUUAGGAUAAAAACUAGAUGAAGUUAGCGUCUGAUUGAUCCUUUGUGAUGGUAAUAUACUUUUCAAAAUGUCUGUUAACGAUGUCACAUCUUCUAUUUGGGCUUAAAAGUUACUAGUAUGCGUUAUUGCUGCGGUCUGUUUGUCUUUGGUUUUUCUCUGUACUCCAUGUAUUCUUUUUUCUCUGUCUUUAUCAUGUUUAUUGUUAAUUUCUAUGUACUUCAUUCAGCCAUAGAGAAAAACAGAUGUACUUUGCUGGUAUUCUUAUGUGAUAUAUCAUCAGCUUGUGACAUAAAUUGGGAAUAACAGUUUGGCGCCUCAAUAAAGAGAAGAAUUCAUUUUCCAUUUAUGCGCUCCGAUGGACUAUUGGAAAUCACAUGCUACUGGUGAUUUGGCCAAACAUCUUUAGUGCAAGGGAUCUGCUUCACUAGUGGUCCAAUUGCAUGUGUGGAUGGUAGACCUAACCCAUCUAUUUGUUACUCACCUGAAGCUAGAUGGUUAAGGUUUGGUUAUUUUUAGAAUUUUUUCUAUUCACUUGGAUUGCCUUGUUUGACUCUCAUCUCAUGGAGCUUUGUUUAGCUUGAAGCUGUAAUGUUUUACCUCUCUCCAGUAAUUGUUUACUUGAAGGAAUUACUUUGA
Nicotiana tabacum (common tobacco) is the source of this 1846-nucleotide non-coding RNA. NCBI's taxonomy places the organism in Eukaryota, Viridiplantae, Streptophyta, Magnoliopsida, Solanales, Solanaceae. The record is from RefSeq and is a predicted model, not a curated record.